Molecule: microRNA, 24 nt
Filed under: Drosophila ananassae
Lineage: Eukaryota; Metazoa; Arthropoda; Insecta; Diptera; Drosophilidae
Description: Dan-Novel-1_3p (mature (guide))
Source: RNAcentral
UUAGGUUUGGUAGUAUUUGGCGAA